GCGGGGGUAGCGAAGUCUGGCCAAACGCGCAGGACUUAAGAUCCUGUUCCUUAGUGGAUCCGAGGGUUCAAAUCCCUUCCCCCGCA
RNAcentral lists this transfer RNA (86 nucleotides) under Candidatus Woesearchaeota archaeon. RNAcentral's name for it is "tRNA-Leu". It matches the Rfam family "tRNA". From Rfam's summary of the family: Transfer RNA (tRNA) molecules are approximately 80 nucleotides in length. Their secondary structure includes four short double-helical elements and three loops (D, anti-codon, and T loops). The record is from RNAcentral. Lineage: Archaea; Nanobdellati; Candidatus Woesearchaeota.